GUCAGCGUCUUCUCACA
RNAcentral lists this small RNA (17 nucleotides) under Caenorhabditis elegans. Its description in RNAcentral is "Unclassified non-coding RNA F02C12.7". Lineage: Eukaryota; Metazoa; Nematoda; Chromadorea; Rhabditida; Rhabditidae. The record is from RNAcentral.